RNAcentral lists this ribosomal RNA (292 nucleotides) under uncultured bacterium. RNAcentral describes it as "partial 16S ribosomal RNA". It matches the Rfam family "Bacterial small subunit ribosomal RNA", at positions 505 to 796 of the family's 1533-position model. The record is from RNAcentral.
GUGUCAGCCGCCGCGGUAAGACAGAGGUGCCGAGCGUUAGGCGGAAUCACUGGGCUUAAAGCGUGUGUAGGCGGAUCCGUAAGUACCUUGUGAAAUCCCACGGCUCAACCGUGGAACUGCUUGGUAUACUGCGGGUCUUGAGCCAUCUAGGGGCAACCGGAACAAACGGUGGAGCGGUGAAAUGCGUAGAUAUCGUUUGGAACGCCAAUGGUGAAAACAGGUUGCUGGGGAUGUGCUGACGCUGAGACACGAAAGCCAGGGGAGCAAACGGGAUUAGAUACCCUCGUAGUCC